UUUUGAGGGGGCUAAGUGACAAUGUGUCAUUUACUGUAACAAAUAUUUGGGGAGAAACAUCUAAAUAUUCAUGGUAUUGUUUGAUCACACCACUACAGUAACAGAAAGCAAAUCACUACUUUCGUGGAGUGGAGCUUUGGAAAUUUUGGAAGAGGACGGACUGACAGCGGUGGGAAGAGUAGGAGUAGCAGGCACAGGAAGACAAAUGGAAACAGAAAUAAAGAUUGAUAGAAUGACAGACCCUCCAGACUGGUCUUGAAAAGAGCAAGAUAGAAACAUGCAGAGUCUGAUUUUAUAUAGGAAUACCAGCGACUACAUCCACAGACUGCAAGCAGGGCUCCUGCUCGGUGAUUAAUGAGAGUCUGAAGGAGAAACUGGAUUCUCCGAGGGGUGCUAUUUUGUAUUAACAAGGCAAAAUGCCAAGCUCAAAAAUUGAACACCUGAAGAUUUUUAAGAACCAGGGUCUUCAACUGUUGUCUAAUAUGGACCAGCCCCACUUUUGGAGCCAGGGCAAGGAGAGAUGGUUUGGAGAGCUGCGGAAUAGAAGACAAAUGAGGUUUCUUACUCUUGAAACUACUAAAAAAUUAUAUAGAGUUUCUUUAUUACUGUGCUCUAUAGUAUUGUGAUCUAAACAGGCUAUGGCCAACUGACCUAAGAGACCUCCCUUGGUUAUUUUAAAGGAAAAUGUACAAUAAAUUCCAAUCUGAU
This 708-nucleotide long non-coding RNA is filed under the name Chinchilla lanigera (long-tailed chinchilla). RNAcentral's name for it is "lncRNA (ENSCLAG00000024467.1)". The record is from RNAcentral. Lineage: Eukaryota; Metazoa; Chordata; Mammalia; Rodentia; Chinchillidae.